AGGAGGUAAUGGUGUAUCGGGAUCUAAUAUUUAUUGAGCUAACAUGGGCGUUAUCCUUGCAGCCCCAUGAGGGACCUUAAACCCAACCCUUUUCAUGAAGACACUAGGGCUCAAAGUGGAUAAACAACCUCCAGGGUCAUGGAAGCAUCUUGAAAAAGGGAAAAGUUUUGCAGCUCCAGGUCCACAUCAUUUGCUGUCUUGACACCUUAAUCUGCAAAAUCCAGGAGAACAGAAUAUUAGCAAAUAUAUACAUAUAUUUCUAUA
Peromyscus leucopus (white-footed mouse) is the source of this 264-nucleotide long non-coding RNA. RefSeq lists it as uncharacterized. NCBI's taxonomy places the organism in Eukaryota, Metazoa, Chordata, Mammalia, Rodentia, Cricetidae. The record is from RefSeq and is a predicted model, not a curated record. The transcript is spliced from 2 exons.